CACGCAAUAUUGUAGUCUCGUAAUUAGGAUAUUUGGCGACGGGAUGCUGCUGCUGGUUAACAAUCAUGAAGGAAAACCUUGAACUUAACAACCAUGAAGGAUACUCGUUUGGUAAAGAUUAAGAGGAGUAAAGGUGUCGUUAAGUUCAAGCUGGUCCUCUGCCUCAUGUACCUUUACACCCUGUGUGUAUUUUACUCAGAAAAGGGUGACAAGAUGAAUCAAUCUCUUCCACCAGAGCUUUGAACGUGCAAGCUAUUUGAAGGAAAUAAGGAGCUGCAAAGUUUUACUGGGGGUUUUUUCAGUAGAACGGUAAUGUGGGCCAAGUGUCUACUUUAUGGACUUUGAUCUGUUGAUAACUUAUAAUGGGUCGGCCCACUGGUUGUGGUCGGGCUAGACACGUUACAAUUUUCAUUGCAAGGCCCUUAGUCCCUCUACUAUUUUUUUAAUGAAAGGAAACUCAUCAAAAAGACAUUAUCACAUUUAACGGUCAACUCAAUUGGAGUAAUGGAAUAUCUUAAUCCCUCGACUA
Long non-coding RNA from Tripterygium wilfordii, 529 nucleotides. RefSeq lists it as uncharacterized. The transcript is spliced from 2 exons. Lineage: Eukaryota; Viridiplantae; Streptophyta; Magnoliopsida; Celastrales; Celastraceae. The record is from RefSeq and is a predicted model, not a curated record.